AGUGAACGCUGGCUGUAGGCCUAACACAUGCAAGUCGAACGGCAGCACAGUAAGAGCUUGCUCUUACGGGUGGCGAGUGGCGGACGGGUGAGGAAUACAUCGGAAUCUACUUUUUCGUGGGGGAUAACGUAGGGAAACUUACGCUAAUACCGCAUACGACCUACGGGUGAAAGCAGGGGAUCUUCGGACCUUGCGCGAUUGAAUGAGCCGAUGUCGGAUUAGCUAGUUGGCGGGGUAAAGGCCCACCAAGGCGACGAUCCGUAGCUGGUCUGAGAGGAUGAUCAGCCACACUGGAACUGAGACACGAUCCAGACUCCUACGGGAGGCAGCAGUGGGGAAUAUUGGACAAUGGGCGCAAGCCUGAUCCAGCCAUACCGCGUGGGUGAAGAAGGCCUUCGGGUUGUAAAGCCCUUUUGUUGGGAAAGAAAAGCAGCAGGUUAAUACCCCGCUGUUCUGACGGUACCCAAAGAAUAAGCACCGGCUAACUUCGUG
This 492-nucleotide ribosomal RNA is filed under the name uncultured bacterium. Its description in RNAcentral is "partial 16S ribosomal RNA". It matches the Rfam family "Bacterial small subunit ribosomal RNA", at positions 29 to 507 of the family's 1533-position model. The record is from RNAcentral.